Molecule: long non-coding RNA, 5238 nt
Filed under: Homo sapiens (human)
Lineage: Eukaryota; Metazoa; Chordata; Mammalia; Primates; Hominidae
Description: non-protein coding BSN-DT:18
Source: RNAcentral
GUAUCAUGCUGAGAAGGAGCCGGGCGGGGGCCGGCGGGGCUGCGAGGGCCCUGUGAGGAGGGGCACCUGCCACUAGAAGCGGCCUCUGGGACGUCGCGCUGAGCCCUGCUUUGGAGUCAGAGGGGCUUUCCGCCUCGGUGAACUCGAGAGUAGCAACUCUCCUCCGGGUAACCGGAGUGCCACAGCGGGCAGGCGUCAUAAGGACAGGCCUCGGAGAGGAGAGGGGCUACCCGAGAAUGGCCUCAAAAGUAUGCAUAGGAGUUGGGAAGGCAGAGGAACAAGUGUAUUCAGAGACGCAAGGUCGUAGAGGGAAGGAGAGGGAGGGUGCUGGGUGGUCGGGCCGGAUUGUGAGGGUCUUUAAGGCCAGCUGGGGAGUGGAGCCUUUAUCCAGAUGGCGAUGGGAACCAUCUGGGAUUCACACUGAGGAACUGGGAGUCUCAGGAAGCGCCCCGGGCACAGAUGGAAGGUGUGACAGGGCUGUGUGAAGCCAGCUGGGAGGCCACCUCAGUCAGCCCUGGGAGAGUGACCUUGGGGAUGGAAAAGAGGACUUGAUGGUUCUCAGGCCUGGAGCUGUCUCGAUGCGGGGCCGCAGGUUGCCUCUGCAUUACCCUGAGAGCUUUCCAAAUUACUUCCCCGCUCCCUCACAUUUACAGCCGGUUUCUGCCCGCUACUCAGGAUUGUCUGCCGUGGUGGCUUCUCACACAAGCCUGUACUUUCCUGUGGGAGAAUAUUUCCUAGGAGCCUAUAUUCCAGUUCAUCUCUGACGUCAUAAAUCAUGACUGUGUAGAAAGGCGUGAGUAACUUGAACCCAUUUUACAAACCCAUUCAAUUCUCCUAAUGUUGCGAAAUAUAUCACAUAGGGUGUUAGCAGUUCUAACUGAACCUAGAAUAAUCCAGGGAUCCCAGUGAAUGCUGAUAGCCAGCCUGCUGGACAGACCGGUGGCUGUGUCAGUUCUUGUGAGGAGGGGCCAGGACCCUCCCUGGGCCUUCCCCUGUGCACUCCGAGCUGCUCCUCCCGACCUCUGGGAUGGAGCAAGUAAGAGAAAGAGGAAAUGCAGAGCCCCCACUUCCUGAUAUUUUCUCCUGACUUCAUACCUCCCGUUUUCACGCUAAACUGCCUGGCCCCUCUGGGAUGACCUAGGAUGAAGAGAGCCUCUCUUCCUGCAGAUGAUGGUCCUUGCUGUGUUUCCUCCUGUGCUGCAGGAUGUUUGAUACAGCUUCGUGAGUGGUGACUACAUGUGCACAUUUAGGCUCCAAAAGAGUCUGCACCUCAGCCCCGAUAGGACCCUUGGCAACUGACUUAGGCUCACUGAGCCUCCAUUUCCUAUUCUGCAAAGUUAGAAUCUUAGUAGCUCCUCGAAUAUGGGGGAUUGUAAGGGUAGAGUGGCUGAUGUAGAUAUUUUAUUUUUUAUUCAUUUUAUUUUUUUUAUUUUUAUUUUUUGGAGACAGACUCUCGCUCUGUCACCCAGGCUGGAGUACAGUGGUGUGAUCUCGGCUCACUGCAACCUCCACCUCCCGGAUUCAAAUGAUUCUCCUGCCUCAGCCUCCCUAGUAGCUGGGAUUACAGGUGCCCACCACCACACCUGGCUAGUUUUUGUAUUUUUAGUAGAGAUGGGAUUUCACCAUGUUGGCCAGGUUGGUCUUGAACUCCUGACCUCUGGUGAUCCUCCCACCUCGGCCUCCCAAAGUGCUGGGAUUACAGGCAUGAGUCAAUGCACCCAGCCUGAUGUAGGUAAAACACCAGGACAAGUGCCUGGUAUACUUAUGACAACUCUGUUAUUAGUUGUCUCCCUGGUGAUGGUCUGGGAUGUGGCGGUCUUGUGCCAUAUAUUUCCUCCUGGGGAAGAAUAUGCUCACAAACACUAUGGGCAGGCCAGUGGCCUGACCUUGUCCCAACCCAGGCUGUUAUAGCUUCACAGACCCCAGUCAGUGUGGGUUGGGCUACUUGAAACAGGGGAAAGGAUGUUUAUUUUUUUGUUUUUGUAGAAACCACAGGAGCUAUGGCUUUCCACAGAUUUAAAUCAACAUGCCUCUGGUUCCUGUGUGGUUAAUUAGCUCUACCCAGCCUGCAGGCUUGGGGAGUUGCCCUCCUCAGAGUGGAUUCCUGGCUGUUAGCAGACCUCCAGGGUCUUUGCUGCCCUGGUGACAAAGGGCACAGCACAGUGGACCCAGGAGACCUGAAAAUGUGGGUUAGAGGUGCCCCUCCUCUCCUCUCAAACUCUCCCAGUUCUGUUUCCUUUGAGGAGCAUCCCCAGGAACAUGCCUGCCCUGUGUUCAUUCACCCUUGACAUUCAGCCCAGGGACUCUUGUGGACCAUGGGAUGGUAUUGGCCUCUGGUUAUCUGGGGCUCUGAUUCAAUCUCCCAUUUCCAUUCACUGUCCCAGAGGCUGUUUACCUCCUUUUGAUCUAGACUGGGGCUCCUCAACAGCAGGACCUUGUCUGACUGGUCCUAUCCCCUGGGCUGGCCUUCAGCAGGCCCUCUGGGGCUCAUGGUUGUGCUGGCUUCUCCAUGACGCUCUGAGCAUUUCCCUCACCUGCGCUUCUAAAGGGCCCACCAAUCACCAGGCUUAAAAGCACUCAGAGAGAUCUUUGGCUUUAGCUGCUGAGCUAAUAAGUAACAGGGAGAGUGCUGGGAUUGCAUCUGGUUUCUCCUCAUGGAGGGGUUGUUGAUGAGCUCUCUUCACUCAUCCAGGAAAAUUCACUAGGCUUGACUAUGCUUUAUGACAAAUGAAUAAACAAAUCUUUCAGUUUAUGCAAGCCAGCUGUGUGGUGUGUCAAGUAUCAUGUCCUCCUGGGUCCAACUGCUGCCCCACCAGGGACAGGAUAGACCUAGAGACCCUGCAGGAGUUUCCCAGUCCCCUAAGCUUCACUUGCUGAAAUAUCUUCUUCCCACUUCAGCAUAACAUGUGACACAUGGCAGCCAUUUUGGAGAUGGCCAGAUGAGAGGACAAUCAAUCCACAUGCCUAAAUGGAACCAACAGACAUGUGCCAGCUUGCUUCUCCAGCCUAUGUUCUCAGACACUUGUAGAAGACCAGAGGGAAAAUGGAAUCAGAAAAAACAGCAACAACAACAAAAAGCCAUCCAGGGCCAUGCACAGUGGCUCACUCCUGUAAUCCCAACAGUUUGGGAGGCCAAGGCAGGUGGAUUGCUUGAGCUCAGCAGUUUAAGACCAGCCUGGGCAACAUGGCGAAACCCUUUCUCUACUAAAUACAAAAACUAGCUGGGUGUGGUGGCAUGCACCUGUAGUCCCAGCUACUCGGGAGGCUGAGGUGGGAGGAUCACCUGAGCCUGGGAGGUUGAAGCUGCAGUGAGCUGUGAUGGUGCCACUGCACUCCCACCUGGGUGACAGAGCAAGACCCUGUCUCAAAAAAACAAAACUAAACAAAAAAAUCCAUGUGGGAAAAGGCCCAAUCAGAGCCAACUCACUGCUGGGAUUAGUAGAAAUGAUUAGUCACCAGAAGGCAAAUCGUGGAAGAAUGAAGAGAUGACAGGACCUCAGGAACUACACCCAGAGGUGUAGUUGUGCCGUAGGCAAAGCAUCAUGCCGGUCAUCCCCAAGAAAGGGAGAAGGGGUAGAGCUCAGACUCUUCCCUGCUUCCCCAUAAGUCCAGUUUACCCUGGGCUGAUCCUUUCAGCAUGGCAGCCUCCGUGGGGAGGCACGAGAUCCAAAGAUGAAGAUGUCUAUGGGGGUGAAGAAGAAUGGCAAACUUUGCAGGCAAGAGUAGGCAUUAGAGAGAUCAGAGGAGGAAGACAAUAGAGAAGGAUGACACAGGACAGGCUGUAUCUAGAGGAUAUAAUGCCAUGGACUUUGGACUAUUCCAGAGAGGCUGAGAGACCUGUCUCCUGCCUACAAGGCUCCUUGAACUCUGCACCCUUCUUUUUGCUAAAGUGCUGCUGAGGCCUGUCUCACUUCCCAAUGAAAAGCAACUCAGGAAAUUGGCUUCCUGCCCCACUCCUUCUUUGGGAGAGAGAAACAGAACUGAAGAGGAAGGAAGGAAGCCCAAAGAAACAGAGGCUUUCUUUCCUGGCUGAGAUUUGUUGGCACUGCCCACUAACAUAGAGAAUAAGGUGGUUCCCUAAGCGAGCCUUAAGCUGGCAUGAGGCUACAAACAAGUGAUUGUAUCUUCGUUCUGCUCAGCAGCCUACCUGGGCUGGCCUGGACAACCUCAAUUGUAUACUGAGGUCUUAAGCUGGCCAUGGCCCUUGGUAAAGCAGGAGAAAGGAAUAAGGCUGGAAGGUACAGAAUUUGCUUGAUGCCUUGCCUACAUAAUUCCUUUGCUGUUGCAACUGGCAACUCUUUGCUUGCAUUAUAUGAAAAAAAGGCGGUAAAAAAUUGUCAGAAAUGUUUGCCACCAGCCUAACCCCACUGCCCAUGCAUUGCUCCCAAGAAAGCUAAUUAAGGCCCAUUGCUAUUAGAGUUACAUGAUUCUGAAGGCUUGUUAUGACAAGAAAAAAUAAUGAAGACAUGGUUCCUCCAAGUCAUAAGCAUCCAAGUCAAAACAUACUGCAUCCCAGGCGAGUGUGGUGGCUCACGCCUGUAAUCCCAGCACUUCGGGAGGCCAAGGCAGCCGGAUCACGAGGUCAGGAGUUCGAGACCAGCCUUGCCAAGAUGAUGAAACCCCGUCUCUACUAAAAAUACAAAAAUUAGCCAGGCAUGGUGGCGGGCGCCUGUACUCCCAGCUACUCAGGAAGCUGAGGCAGGAGAAUCGCUUGAAACCGGGAGGCGGAGGUUGCAAUGAGCCGAGAUCACACCACUGCACUGUACCCUGGGCGUCAGAGCAAGACUCCAUCUCAAAAAAAAAAGAAAAAAACAUCCUGCAUCCCUUGUUCCUUUGUGUUCCCCUAGACAAGCCUCUGGGCUGGCUUUGCCUAUCUCAUGCAUGCAGGCAGUCAUCCUCCUUUGGCCAGUGCAUACCUGACUCCUACUCAGUGCCAGGCCUGGAGAAGACUGUGAGACCUGCCCUUGAGGAGUUCUGUUUGCAGGAAGAGAGUGAUAGGCACACAAAUUAUUUCCAAUAAACUACAGAAAAUGUCACCAGAAUCUCUAUUGUGAUCAUGUCCCCCACCCAUGUCUGUUUCAUAGAUUGGGGGAGAACAGGCCCGGGUGGAAAGUCAUGCACUUAUGCCCUCUCCUGACCAGCCCACAUGUCCUACCCCAGCCAACAGUGGUUCAGGCAUGACUCUGACUGCUCAUGGGAAAGAGCAGCUUGCUCAGCCCCUCCAUCAGACUCAGUUCU